This is a non-coding RNA of Lonchura striata (white-rumped munia), 181 nucleotides long. The record is from RefSeq and is a predicted model, not a curated record. NCBI's taxonomy places the organism in Eukaryota, Metazoa, Chordata, Aves, Passeriformes, Estrildidae.
CUCCCGGCCCCGCUGCCAGGGGCGAAGCCGCCCGCCGGGCCCCGCGGCUUUUUUUCUUAGAUUUUAUUACUGGAAAACUCUCUAAUGACAACUUUGCUUAGGAGCUGAGUGUUGUGACCUGCCCUACUUCUCCCUGCUCGCUGUGGGAACAACCUGAGGAACGUCUUGGAGCCACCUGUAC